This 451-nucleotide ribosomal RNA is filed under the name uncultured bacterium. RNAcentral describes it as "partial 16S ribosomal RNA". It matches the Rfam family "Bacterial small subunit ribosomal RNA", at positions 354 to 796 of the family's 1533-position model. The record is from RNAcentral.
GUGGGGAAUAUUGGACAAUGGGGGGAACCCUGAUCCAGCCAUGCCGCGUGUGUGAAGAAGGCCUUUUGGUUGUAAAGCACUUUAAGCGAGGAGGAGGCUACCGAGAUUAAUACUCUUGGAUAGUGGACGUUACUCGCAGAAUAAGCACCGGCUAACUCUGUGCCAGCAGCCGCGGUAAUACAGAGGGUGCGAGCGUUAAUCGGAUUUACUGGGCGUAAAGCGUGCGUAGGCGGCUUUUUAAGUCGGAUGUGAAAUCCCCGAGCUUAACUUGGGAAUUGCAUUCGAUACUGGGAAGCUAGAGUAUGGGAGAGGAUGGUAGAAUUCCAGGUGUAGCGGUGAAAUGCGUAGAGAUCUGGAGGAAUACCGAUGGCGAAGGCAGCCAUCUGGCCUAAUACUGACGCUGAGGUACGAAAGCAUGGGGAGCAAACAGGAUUAGAAACCCGUGUAGUCC